UUCGCCGGUCCCAGGCGAUCUGCUAAACACUUCGCGCGCAGGUCCGGGUGGAACCGGGCCCACUCCUUUCAGGGGAGUGUCCCGGGCGCG
This is a non-coding RNA of Synechococcus sp. RS9917, 90 nucleotides long. The record is from Rfam. Lineage: Bacteria; Bacillati; Cyanobacteriota; Cyanophyceae; Synechococcales; Synechococcaceae.